Molecule: non-coding RNA, 27 nt
Filed under: Homo sapiens (human)
Lineage: Eukaryota; Metazoa; Chordata; Mammalia; Primates; Hominidae
Source: RNAcentral
UGACUUUGAGAGUUCUGCUGAUGGCCA